This 253-nucleotide ribosomal RNA is filed under the name uncultured bacterium. RNAcentral describes it as "partial 16S ribosomal RNA". It matches the Rfam family "Bacterial small subunit ribosomal RNA", at positions 524 to 776 of the family's 1533-position model. The record is from RNAcentral.
UACGAAGGGGGCUAGCGUUGCUCGGCAUUACUGGGCGUAAAGGGAGCGUAGGCGGAUCGUUAAGUUAGAGGUGAAAGCCCAGGGCUCAACCCUGGAAUUGCCUUUGAUACUGGCGAUCUUGAGUAUGGGAGAGGUAAGCGGAACUCCGAGUGUAGAGGUGAAAUUCGUAGAUAUUCGGAAGAACACCAGUGGCGAAGGCGGCUUACUGGCCCAUUACUGACGCUGAGGCUCGAAAGCGUGGGGAGCAAACAGG